GCCCGUAUGGUGCAACGGCUAACACACAACCCUGUCACGGUUGUAAUCCGGGUUCGAUUCCCGGUGCGGGCG
RNAcentral lists this transfer RNA (72 nucleotides) under Candidatus Pacearchaeota archaeon. RNAcentral describes it as "tRNA-Asp". It matches the Rfam family "tRNA". From Rfam's summary of the family: Transfer RNA (tRNA) molecules are approximately 80 nucleotides in length. Their secondary structure includes four short double-helical elements and three loops (D, anti-codon, and T loops). Further hydrogen bonds mediate the characteristic L-shaped molecular structure. tRNAs have two regions of fundamental functional importance: the anti-codon, which is responsible for specific mRNA codon recognition, and the 3' end, to which the tRNAs corresponding amino acid is attached (by aminoacyl-tRNA synthetases). tRNAs cope with the degeneracy of the genetic code in two manners: having more than one tRNA (with a specific anti-codon) for a particular amino acid; and 'wobble' base-pairing, i.e. permitting non-standard base-pairing at the 3rd anti-codon position. The record is from RNAcentral. Lineage: Archaea; Nanobdellati.